This 1236-nucleotide ribosomal RNA is filed under the name Triticum aestivum (bread wheat). RNAcentral describes it as "partial small subunit ribosomal RNA". The record is from RNAcentral. Lineage: Eukaryota; Viridiplantae; Streptophyta; Magnoliopsida; Poales; Poaceae.
AUGGGGUUCAGGAAGGGCCUCCUGGCGUGCUUCGGGCCGGGCGGAGGAGACGAGGAGACGGAGCAGGAGGCGCGGGCGACGCCGGGGGCGCGGCGGCGGCGCACGGUGAUGAACCUGCACGCCUUCACCCUGGACGAGCUCAAGUCCGUCACCAAGAAUUUCUCCACCGCCAACUUCCUCGGCGAGGGCGGCUUCGGCCCCGUCUACAAGGGGUGCGUCGCCGGCGGCCUCCGCCCAGGCCUCGCCGCGCAGCAGGUCGCCGUCAAGUACCUCGACCUCGACAGCGACGGCGUGCAGGGGCACCGCGAGUGGCUGGCGGAGGUGGUGUAUCUGGGGAUGCUGAGCCACCCGCACCUGGUGAAGCUGCUGGGGUUCUGCAACCAGGACGACCACCGCAUGCUCGUCUACGAGUACAUGCCCCGGGGCAGCCUCGAGAACCACCUCUUCAACAAUCCGCUGGCGCCGCUGCCAUGGUCGACGCGGCUUAAGAUCGCCGUGGGCGCGGCCAAGGGGCUGGCGUUCCUGCAUGAGGCGGANNNNNNNNNNNNNNNNNNNNNNNNNNNNNNNNNNNNNNNNNNNNNNNNNNNNGAUUACGCAGCGAAGCUGUCGGACUUCGGGCUGGCCAAGGAGGGGCCGAAGGGGGACGACACGCACGUGACGACGCGGGUGAUGGGCACGCACGGCUACGCGGCGCCGGAGUACAUCCUCACGGGCCACCUCACGGCCAAGAGCGACGUGUACAGCUUCGGGGUGGUGCUCCUGGAGCUGCUCACGGGCCGGCGCUCCGUCGACAAGCGGCGGCGCGGGCGGGAGCAGAACCUCGUCGACUGGGCGCGCCCCUACCUGCGCCGCGCCGACGACCGGCUGCACCGCGUCAUGGACCCCGGCAUGGAGUCGCAGUACUCCACGCGGGCGGCGCGCGGCGCCGCGGCCGUGGCGCACUCCUGCCUGCAGAGCGUGCCCAAGGCGCGGCCCCGGAUGCGCGACGUCGUGGACGCCCUCGAGCCGCUGCUCGCGCUCGACGACGACGUGCCCAUGGGGCCCUUCGUGUUCACGGUCUGCGAGCCGGAGGCGGCGGCGGGCAAGGGGGACGGCGCCGGGGACGACGAGCCGGCGGCCGCGCAGGGCAAGUGGCACGUCAAGUCGGCCGUGCACGCGGACAGCCCGCUGCGCAAGGGUGACUGCUGGGUCACCAGCGCCGCCAAACGGCCGGAGAGCCCCCCGGGUGUGAUCUGA